UUCAGUGAUAACAUCAAACAAGAACACGUGAAAGUAGAAUAGUAUAAGAUUUUUCAUGAUUGAACAAAUUCUACUCAAGAUUCAUGAACAAAUUCUACUUCAAGAUAGGGAGAUGGGGAGAUGUUGAAAACAGUGGUUUUGCAUCAAACAACUUUCAAAGAUUCAAGUAACCAAGAGCCAAAAAUUAUUCAUGAUAAAAACAAAAGAUGAACACGGGAAACAAAACACUACCAAGGAAGAUCGCGAGAAAAGAAAACACAUACCAAGAAAGUGGAAGAAUUUGAUUUUGAUAACAUUUCUAAUUGAUUAUAUUGCAGGGACGGUGACCGGCCGCCGGAAACAGAGUUGAGAAAAAGUGAAGGAGGGAGUAAGAGAGAGAAAAAAAAAUGGAAAAUGAAGGAUCUGUGAAGAAAAAGUGUAUAUAUACCCAAUGUGAUCCAAUGUGCAAGUGUCCACGGCUGCGCACCGUAAGCUUUCCAUCAUCACCGCUUAUCUUCAUCAGACACAUAUAUCUUUCUUUCCCUGUUCAGAUCAGGAUCAUCUGAUCAAUCUGACGGAGAUGAGAAGAUGAAGCCACACCCAAGAUCAGGGAACAAGUAUCUCCAAUUUUUUCAUAAUCAAUUUUUAGACAAAUUAUACUAUUCAUUCAUGUAAUUGAUAACAGUUUCAAAAUAGCUAACAUUUACAUUAAAUAAAUCAUAUAUGGGACAAAUAUGCUAUUAAUUCAUAGUACUCAUACUGAUUAAAUAAAUCUAACU
Trifolium pratense (red clover) is the source of this 758-nucleotide long non-coding RNA. RefSeq lists it as uncharacterized. The transcript is spliced from 4 exons. NCBI's taxonomy places the organism in Eukaryota, Viridiplantae, Streptophyta, Magnoliopsida, Fabales, Fabaceae. The record is from RefSeq and is a predicted model, not a curated record.